Sciurus carolinensis (gray squirrel) is the source of this 357-nucleotide long non-coding RNA. RefSeq lists it as uncharacterized. The transcript is spliced from 3 exons. Lineage: Eukaryota; Metazoa; Chordata; Mammalia; Rodentia; Sciuridae. The record is from RefSeq and is a predicted model, not a curated record.
AAUAACCUGAAUGUAUAUAGAAGGAAAACGAAACCCAGCAGGUGUCUCUGCUAUGGGAUGGGGUCUUGGUGAGGAAGAGAAGCCUGUAAGUGUUGAACGACAAGAAGAGGGAUUCAGGAGGACUGUGGCUGAGAUCUUGGCUAUCACAGGUGUUGCUGUAAUGAGCACUCUUGAACAUCACCCUCAGAUCGGAUCAGAGAAGUGAUGGUGUCGCUGUGUGGGGACCCCAACCGUGCCAAAGCGGCAGCUACUCAUGGACACCAGCACUAGAAGUCUCGGUGUCUACCUCUGCUAGACCCCACCAAAGAUGGGAUUGAGAGCGGCCCAGAAGAGUUCCAGGAGCAGCAGCUGCUCAUA